UAUGUCACGAUUAAUUAGAUGUAUAUAAAGACUGAUUUUAUCAAAUAUAUUUUAUUAAUAUAUAAUCAAUAAAAAACAUGAUUAAAAGUUGCUUGUAUCUAAUGGGAUUUCUAUAUACUGUGAUAAUUAUUUUGAACUUCCUAAUUCCUAUAUCCACAGGAUGCCCACUCUUUGAUUCAACAAACCCUGUAGUAAAUGCUCAACUGCGUUAUGUAAAUGAAUAUGGUCGAGCUCUCUUCUGCCAUGACUAUUGCACCUCAAAUGAACAUCUCUGCUGUUAUUGCACACCCUAACAGCUAACCCUAUAGAUUAUAGAUUAUUUUUUUAUACAUGUCAUCUUGUAAUUUUUAUUGUACGAAAAUUGGGGAUUUAUAAAGGUGUAUUUUAUUUAUAUAUAUAUAUCAUAACAACUAAAAUUAUACUACUAACUAGUAAUAUUAAUAAAGAAAAAUAUAGUGUAAACAUA
Long non-coding RNA from Gordionus sp. m RMFG-2023, 466 nucleotides. RefSeq lists it as uncharacterized. The transcript has 3 exons. Lineage: Eukaryota; Metazoa; Nematomorpha; Gordioida; Chordodea; Parachordodidae. The record is from RefSeq and is a predicted model, not a curated record.